This 22-nucleotide non-coding RNA is filed under the name Arabidopsis thaliana (thale cress). The record is from RNAcentral. Lineage: Eukaryota; Viridiplantae; Streptophyta; Magnoliopsida; Brassicales; Brassicaceae.
AACAAAGGAAAGUGUCUCAUCC